This is a long non-coding RNA of Lolium rigidum, 1156 nucleotides long. RefSeq lists it as uncharacterized. The transcript is spliced from 3 exons. NCBI's taxonomy places the organism in Eukaryota, Viridiplantae, Streptophyta, Magnoliopsida, Poales, Poaceae. The record is from RefSeq and is a predicted model, not a curated record.
AUUUUCAUAUAUUCUUGUAUUGUGUGUACGGUGAUAGUUAGAAAUGUUUCUUUCUACAAAUUUAUUUUGCCACUGUGUUGUCACUUGAUUAAUUCGCUAUUCUAGACAUUCUAGAUUUAUUUUGAACCGAAGAGUGUUGACCAUUUCCUGAGUGCCAACAUUCAGCUUAGAAAUGACAAGAGAAGCUCCGCAAGUAAUCUGAGGGAGCGGAUGAAAACAAAAGAACAAAACGUUACUGAACAAUUGGUAUUUUUUAUACCUGGUGAAUGCUACAGCUCCAUCUGAUUCUGCCAUUCCCGCCAUUGGCAAUAAUGAAAUUGAUGGUAUUGCAGUGUCUUCAAAUAAUCACUGACGUGCUCUCUACGCUUCAGUAUUUGGAGUAUUGUUUUUUUUAUUCCAUUUGUUUUUGAAGAAUGAUCUUAUCAUAGUAGAAUGGUCAUCUCAUGGUUGUGUGUAUGCUCUAAUUGUGGAAUGCAGUGAAUUCAGAAACAGAAGCAUAUGAGAAUGUGGAAACUGGCUUAUUGCAAGCAACGUGGAAAUGCCCCUAAAAUCACAAUGUCACCGGGCUGGACACGAUGAAAUAAUGACGAUGGAUCUGAGCCUUCUCCCUCCUGUAACUGCCGCUGGUACUGGAGGUGCUUUACGCUUUGCUUACCUUCGUUUCUCCAUAUAUAUUGCGGCUUGCCUUCCUUUGCUGCCUCUCCACUCCCCUUCUGUGAAAGCCAUGGGCACAGCCGCUGCCUCUGAUCCCGUCGGCAAGAUGCAAGGCAGCGAUUUCCUCUACUUGCCGUGGAUCUUCAAGGGUGACCGCAAAUUGAUAGAGAUGCUACGGGACCCCAACACGUCUGCGGCUGUUUGACGACUUGGUCGACCACCAGCGCCUCACUUCCUGUGGGCACCGAUCUUCGCCUCACCAUGAUGCUCGGCAACUACGACCAUGUCUCCUCCAAUCGUUUUGGUGGUUGAGAAAUGAACCAAUGCUGGUUAUGCAACAGAGGUGGCAGUCAGGUUUGACGUCAGAUACAAUGCUACACAUGUUGUUGUUUGCACGCGCACAUGUACACACACAUUCUUAUUUCAAUUUAUCAAAUGGCAUAUGUACUGUUUGUACAGAUCCGACAAAGGCUAAUGGAUUAUUUAAUUUUAGCUGCUUCAA